This 253-nucleotide ribosomal RNA is filed under the name uncultured bacterium. RNAcentral's name for it is "partial 16S ribosomal RNA". It matches the Rfam family "Bacterial small subunit ribosomal RNA", at positions 524 to 776 of the family's 1533-position model. The record is from RNAcentral.
UACGAAGGAUUCGAGCGUUAUCCGGAUUUAUUGGGUUUAAAGGGUGCGUAGGUGGACUAAUAAGUCAGUGGUGAAAGCCCGCAGCUUAACUGCGGAACUGCCAUUGAUACUGUUAGUCUUGAGUACAGUUGAGGUGGGCGGAAUGUGUCAUGUAGCGGUGAAAUGCUUAGAUAUGACACAGAACACCGAUUGCGAAGGCAGCUCACUAAGCUGUAACUGACACUGAGGCACGAAAGUGUGGGUAGCAAACAGG